RNAcentral lists this transfer RNA (74 nucleotides) under Pseudomonadota bacterium. RNAcentral describes it as "Proteobacteria bacterium tRNA-His". It matches the Rfam family "tRNA". Rfam says of the family: Transfer RNA (tRNA) molecules are approximately 80 nucleotides in length. Their secondary structure includes four short double-helical elements and three loops (D, anti-codon, and T loops). Lineage: Bacteria; Pseudomonadati; Pseudomonadota. The record is from RNAcentral.
GCACUCUUAGCUCAGUUGGAAAGAGCAUCUGACUAUGAAUCAGGAAGUCGGGCGUUUCAAUCGCUCAGAGUGGG